Molecule: ribosomal RNA, 435 nt
Filed under: uncultured bacterium
Lineage: Bacteria
Description: partial 16S ribosomal RNA
Rfam family: Bacterial small subunit ribosomal RNA
Source: RNAcentral
AGCGAACGCUGGCGGCAGGCUUAACACAUGCAAGUCGAGCGGGCACUUUCGGGUGUCAGCGGCGGACGGGUGAGUAACGCGUGGGAACGUGCCCUCUGGUUCGGAAUAACUCAGGGAAACUUGAGCUAAUACCGGAUACGCCCUUUUGGGGAAAGGCUUGCUGCCGGAGGAUCGGCCCGCGUCUGAUUAGCUAGUUGGUGAGGUAACGGCUCACCAAGGCGACGAUCAGUAGCUGGUCUGAGAGGAUGAUCAGCCACACUGGGACUGAGACACGGCCCAGACUCCUACGGGAGGCAGCAGUGGGGAAUAUUGGACAAUGGGCGCAAGCCUGAUCCAGCCAUGCCGCGUGAGUGAUGAAGGCCUUAGGGUUGUAAAGCUCUUUUAUCCGGGACGAUAAUGGCGGUACCGGAGGAAUGAGCCCCGGCUAACUUCGUG